AUGUUCCACAGUUUCAGUUCAUAUGUGAGGACUGCCCUACGCUCAAGCAACGAGUUACGACAUGGAUGGAGUGUAGGACGAAGUUCAGGACAUCAGAGAACAGAUGACACAUUGGUCACAUCCCCAGUAAAUGUGUCAAUCAUACUAAACCGUCGAUGGUUUCUAAUUUCCAAUAUUGAAAAAUGCUACUAUAUCUCAAGUAAUAUGAGAGUAUUGAUUAACCCAUUUUCUGUUUCUAAGCUAUCUUUAUUUUUCUUAGUUAUUUUGGUGUUUUGUUUGGCACAGAAGAUGGUUUCAAAACAGAGAGUUGUGGUUUUGAUGCUAUCUGUAAAGGUAAUUCAUAUAUAUCAUAAGUUUAUUAACAUACUUACUUCAUAUGAACAUUAUUCUUUUACUUCGUUAAUAUAUGGGUCAAUAUGUUCGCACCAUACCCUCAGGGCCAUUACCUUGACUGUCCAUUCUAGAUAA
This 468-nucleotide ribosomal RNA is filed under the name Triticum aestivum (bread wheat). RNAcentral's name for it is "partial small subunit ribosomal RNA". Lineage: Eukaryota; Viridiplantae; Streptophyta; Magnoliopsida; Poales; Poaceae. The record is from RNAcentral.